Molecule: long non-coding RNA, 217 nt
Filed under: Mytilus galloprovincialis (Mediterranean mussel)
Lineage: Eukaryota; Metazoa; Mollusca; Bivalvia; Mytilida; Mytilidae
Source: RNAcentral
CCUCUGUGUCCUAUAGGUAACAUGCAUAGUCGCAUUUGUCAUCCAUUCUUAUGAUUAUUCAGAUUGAGUUAUUUUGGGAGAAAAACGACAAAAAAGGAGUCCGGAUAUGAUUCCGUCAUCGGACUGACUUUUAGUCAUAGAUGAGACUUCCGGUUUUAAAGAUGCACAAAUACAACCAAUCGUAUGAUAGAUAACAAAAAUGAAAAAUAAAUAAGCC